Molecule: long non-coding RNA, 4074 nt
Filed under: Homo sapiens (human)
Lineage: Eukaryota; Metazoa; Chordata; Mammalia; Primates; Hominidae
Description: HSALNT0290179
Rfam family: mir-34 microRNA precursor family (bases 411-487)
Source: RNAcentral
AAGCACUAGAUCUUAAACCCUGUGAUGGGCAAUUUCCUUGUCAAUUUAGCGAGGCUGUGAUACCCAUGAUUCAACCAAACGCUUGCCUGGGUGCUACUGUGAGGUGCGUUGUACAUGUGGUCAGCACUGAUGAUCACUGGCUGUAAGUCAAAGGUUCUCCUCUGCGAGGUGGGUGGGCCUCAUGCAAUCGGUUGAAAGGCCUCAAGAGCAGAACCGAGGUUUCCCUGAAGAAGAAGAAAUCCUGCCUGGGGACUGCAGUGUCAGCUCCUCCGGGGAGCUUCCGGCCUGCUGGCCUGCCCUCUGGAUUUCAGACUUGCCUAGCCAGCCCCCACAAUCACGUGCUGGGGAGAGGCAGGACAGGCCUGUCCCCCGAGUCCCCUCCGGAUGCCGUGGACCGGCCAGCUGUGAGUGUUUCUUUGGCAGUGUCUUAGCUGGUUGUUGUGAGCAAUAGUAAGGAAGCAAUCAGCAAGUAUACUGCCCUAGAAGUGCUGCACGUUGUGGGGCCCAAGAGGGAAGAUGAAGCGAGAGAUGCCCAGACCAGUGGGAGACGCCAGGACUUCGGAAGCUCUUCUGCGCCACGGUGGGUGGUGAGGGCGGCUGGGAAAGUGAGCUCCAGGGCCCCAGGAGCAGCCUGCUCGUGGGUGCGGAAGGAAAAAGGCACAGGGGCUUGGUGUGGGCGGCUUUUGGCUGGGAGAAGUUUGCACGUAGGGAGAAUAGUAGCCAGUGUUUGCAGAGCACUUACUAUGCAGGAAGGCCUGUCCUAAGUAUUGUAAGUGUAUUACAUCAUGUACAAGUGUCUGUGAUUAACCCCGUCUUGCAGAGAAGGAAACAAAAGUACAAACAGAAAAUGUAACUAAGCAUGCAAUUAAUAAAAAGGGACCAGGUUUUGAACGCGAGCAAUCUGGCUCAAGAAUCUGCGCCCAACCACCGGCUCCUGUUCUUAGAGAUGAACGUGGAGUCCUGGAGACUGCUCAACAUUGUGACUUGACUGUGAGCGUACGCGCUCCCUGUCCCCAGGAGACAGAUUUCCAGUGCAAUCAUAGAAAGUGCCUGUGUGGGCUUCGGGAGAUGUGUCUGCCUUGGGGAGAAUUUUCCUUUUCAGCUAGAGCCAGGCCCAGGAUGUUGACGUCAGUGAGACGCUGGUGACGUUCUCUGCUCCAGUGGCUGAUGAGAAAAGUUCCUCCAAGCCAGCUCAGUUGAGAAGAAUUAAGUUCUCUGGGUCCCACUGGCUUCACCUACAGAUGCCAACUUUGAGGCCAGUGAACUGUGAGGCCAGCUGGGCUGAUUGCCAUGGCAACAGGAAUUGGACCAAAGUCACCGGAGGAUGGAGAGGGAAGACACAGUGGUGGCUUCCCCAGGUCUUGGACCACAAGGCACAGCCGUGGCCUCCAGGAACCCUGAGAUAACCCGUUAGUGGGUCCUGCACUCCAACAGAGCUCAUGCAAUCAGCCUCUGGUCCUCACCCUCCUCCCAUUGGUGUCGUUGUGCUCUCUAACAUUGACAUUGAGCAGUGAGUGCUCCAGAUCUUGUUCCACUGAUUUUUUCCACUGUUCUCCAGUCUAGCACUUUCUGAAAUUCAUCCAAGCCUAAGAGGUGACGCCAAACGUAAGUGUCUUACACCUCGGACCCCAUGGACUAAGACAAGCCUCUGGGGUCCAUGUGGCACCAAGGAUGGGGCCUUCUAGUACCUUUCACACAGGCCAGGGACAGCACCUGCUGCGACCCCCACCCCCAGCCUCUGCUGCUUCUCCCGUUGCCCUUCCAGCCACUGCCCUGGGCACCUCCCCUGCUCCCGCCUCCCUGCCUGGGCCCAUCUUUCUUUGCACCUCACCAAUUGCGGGGCUUCCUAGUGCUGGAGGGGAAGGGAGCCUGCUUCCAUUCUCACCACUCUGAAAGAAGACCCUGCAGAGAGGUUUUCUGGAAUUUGGAGCCUAACCUUGGCCUUGACACAGUCCAGAUGAGAAGGCCGUCCCCCAGUUAAGCCAGCCCUCCCUCCCUCUCAAUGCUGGAGAGGAAACCAGGCAGCUGGUUGCUUCAGCAAACCCCCUCCCUAUGGGAAUUGUCCUUUUCUUCCUCAAAUAGACUGGAGUGCAGAGGACUUGCUUCAGAGAGAGCCCCUUUGUAACGCACAUUGCACGGGCCGUGCCCCAUGCCCACUCUGCCACAAACUCCCCUCAGCUGCCCAGCCCCGUGGAGCCAGGCGUGGGCUGAAGUGGGGCCAAUGAAAUGCCUGGAAUGCCAGCCGCAGUGACAGGCCAGCACUCAGAUGCCUCUCGGGAGUUCUGACCGAAGCAGCACUGAGGACUGCUUCAGAGCAGAAGUCUACGCCAUUUUCCCCAGUUCUAGGCAGAAGUAAAGAAUGUCUCUACCUUCUCCCAACCAGCAAUUGAUUCAGAGUCCUGAGCUUUUAAAUUAAAGGGACCCCUCUGUUGCUUUAUGCAGUAGCCAGCUUAUUCAUUUGAGUUCAGGUGAAAUCAUUUUCAAGUAACCUCUUCCUAUCCAGCUUUACUUUUAGUUAUGCUGACAUAAAAACAAUAAAAAUUGUCCUCCUCAGAGUUCACCUGUAAAAGUUCCUGGAUAAUUAGUAAGGAAACAGAAAGAGCAGAUAGUUGUUGCUUCAGAUAAAAGUGAUGUCUGGGUUGGGCACGGUGGCGCAUGCCUGUAAUCCCAGCACUUGGGGAGGCCCAGGUGGAUGGAUCCCUUGAGCUCAGGAGUUUCAGACCAGCCUGGGCAACAUCUCUACAAAAAAUACAAAAAUUAGCCAGGCAUAGUGGCAGGACUGUAGUCCCAGCUACUCAGGAGGCUGAGGUCAGGGGAUGGCUUGAGCCCAGGAGGCACAGAUUGAAGUGAGCUGAGAUUGCGCCACUGUAUUCCAGCCUAGGUGACAGAGCCAGACCCUGUCUCAAAUUAAAAAAAACUCUUUGUGGUCAUUUAAUUUACUUCUGCAUUCUUUUUUUUUUUUUUUUGAAAUGGGCAGUGGUACCAUCUCAGCUCACUGCAACCUCUGCCUUGGGGGUUCAAGUGAUUCUCCUGCCUCAGCCUCCCGAGUAGCUGGGAUUACAGGCACCCGCCACCACGCCCAGCUAAUUUUUGUAUUUUUAGUAGAGACGGGGCUUUGCCAUGUUGACCAGGCUGGACUCAAACUCCUGACCUCAGGUGAUCCGCCCACCUCGGCCUCCCAAAGCACUGGGAUUACAGGAAUGAGCCACUGCACUCGGCCUACUUCUGCAUUCCUUAGAGUACAUCCUAGCUAGGAUAUAUUCACUUGUCUUUAGAGCUAACAGCAGAAGAAAGGUACCUAGAUGCUUAUCUAGCUCUUUAUCUUUCUAGAAAUUCUAGAAGAUGAGAGGGGCAGUGGUGGCUCCAAGGGAGUGAUUUUAGGAUGGACUGGGACAGAGAGGGGCUGCUUACACAUACUCACACAGAGGCCAUUAAUUUAGGGAGUUCAAGGUCCAGGAGGUUGACGGCAUCUAGGCCUGUGGCAGAGUGCACUCCUGCUUUGGGGAAUGUAUGGGCAGCUUCUUGCCUGUAGUUGGAGGGUUAGAGAGAGGGAUCAAUAAUUUCAUGGUUGGACUUGAGUUUGGAGCGAGUGGAGUUAGAUACAAAUUCUAUGUUUUUGGAGAAAGUAUUUGAUCUUCUUGGCUGUGAGGCAAAGCGAGGUUUAAAAAUAUUUUUCACUUAAAAAUAUAUAUAUAUGCAUGUAUAUUUAAUACUGUCUAUGGAUUGUGCCAAUAUCUAUUUCAUGGUUUUGAUAUUGUGUAGUUAUACAAGGAGUUACCACUGAACGAAACUGGGGGAAGGGUACACAGAAUCUCUGUACUUUUUUUGUUGUUGUUGCAAUUUCCUGUAAAUCUAUGAUUAUUUUAAAAUAAAAAAGUUAAAGCAUACGUAUUUACAUUUGAUUAAAUGCAGUGUGAUAUCCUGGGUUGGAUUUUGGAACAAAACAAGGCAUGAGUGAAAAAACUGGUAAAAUCCAAAAAAGCCUUUAGUUAAAAGUAAUACCAGUGUUAAUUUCUUAGUUUUGACAAAUGUGCCAUGGCUGUGUAAGAUGCAAAUGUUAGAGGAAACUGGGCG